CCUACGGGAGGCAGCAGUGGGGAAUUUUGGACAAUGGGCGAAAGCCUGAUCCAGCCAUUCCGCGUGAGUGAAGAAGGCCUUCGGGUUGUAAAGCUCUUUCGCAAGGAAAGAAAACUUAUCUCCUAAUACGGGGUGAGGAUGACGGUACCUUGAUAAGAAGCACCGGCUAACUACGUGCCAGCAGCCGCGGUAAUACGUAGGGUGCGAGCGUUAAUCGGAAUUACUGGGCGUAAAGCGUGCGCAGGCUGUUUUGUAAGUCAGAUGUGAAAUCCCUGGGCUCAACCUAGGAACUGCGUUUGAAACUACAAGGCUAGAGUGUAGCAGAGGGGGGUAGAAUUCCACGUGUAGCAGUGAAAUGCGUAGAGAUGUGGAGGAAUACCAAUGGCGAAGGCAGCCCCCUGGGUUAACACUGACGCUCAUGCACGAAAGCGUGGGGAGCAAACAGGAUUAGAUACCCUGGUAGUCCACGCCCUAAACGAUGUCUACUAGUUGUUGGGAGAGUAAAAUCUCUUAGUAACGCAGCUAACGCGUGAAGUAGACCGCCUGGGGAGUACGGUCGCAAGNUUAAAACUUAAGGAAUUGACGG
Molecule: ribosomal RNA, 586 nt
Filed under: uncultured bacterium
Lineage: Bacteria
Description: bacterial SSU rRNA
Rfam family: Bacterial small subunit ribosomal RNA
Source: RNAcentral